GCUGGGCGUGGUGGCGUGUGCCUGUAGUCUCAGCUACUCGGAGGCUGAGGCAGAAGAAUUGCUUGAACCCGGGAGGCAGAGGCUGCAGUGAGCCGAGAUCGUGCCACUGCACUCCAGCCUGGGUGACAGAGCGAGACUCCGUCUCAA
RNAcentral lists this non-coding RNA (147 nucleotides) under Nomascus leucogenys (northern white-cheeked gibbon). Lineage: Eukaryota; Metazoa; Chordata; Mammalia; Primates; Hylobatidae. The record is from Rfam by way of RNAcentral.